This 484-nucleotide ribosomal RNA is filed under the name uncultured bacterium. RNAcentral describes it as "partial 16S ribosomal RNA". It matches the Rfam family "Bacterial small subunit ribosomal RNA", at positions 28 to 507 of the family's 1533-position model. The record is from RNAcentral.
AUUGAACGCUGGCGGCAUGCUUUACACAUGCAAGUCGAACGGCAGCGCGGGCUUCGGCCUGGCGGCGAGUGGCGAACGGGUGAGUAAUUCAUCGGAACGUGCCCAGUAGUGGGGGAUAGCCCGGCGAAAGCCGGAUUAAUACCGCAUACGACCUGAGGGUGAAAGCGGGGGACCGAAAGGCCUCGCGCUAUUGGAGCGGCCGAUGUCGGAUUAGCUAGUUGGUGGGGUAAAGGCUUACCAAGGCGACGAUCCGUAGCUGGUCUGAGAGGACGACCAGCCACACUGGGACUGAGACACGGCCCAGACUCCUACGGGAGGCAGCAGUGGGGAAUUUUGGACAAUGGGGGCAAGCCUGAUCCAGCCAUGCCGCGUGCGGGAAGAAGGCCUUCGGGUUGUAAACCGCUUUUGUUCGGGAAGAAAUCCUCUGGGCUAAUACCCCGGGGGGAUGACGGUACCGGAAGAAUAAGCACCGGCUAACUACGUG